CAAUAGCGUAUAUUUAAGUUGCUGCAGUUAAAAAGCUCGUAGUUGGAUUUCGGGUGGGAAUGGCCGGUCCGCCGUUUCGGUGUGCACUUGCUACGCCCACCUUGCUGCCGGGGACGUGCUCUUGAGUUCACGCUCGGGACACGGAGUCGGCGAGGUUACUUUGAGUAAAUUAGAGUGUUCAAAGCAGGCCUACGCUCUGAAUACAUUAGCAUGGAAUAACACGAUAGGACUCUGGCCUAUCUUGUUGGUCUGUAGGACCGGAGUAAUGAUUAAGAGGGACAGUCGGGGGCAUUCGUAUUUCAUUGUCAGAGGUGAAAUUCUUGGAUUUAUGAAAGACGAACUACUGCGAAAGCAUUCGGCAAGGAUGUUUUCAUUGA
RNAcentral lists this ribosomal RNA (377 nucleotides) under uncultured eukaryote. RNAcentral's name for it is "partial 18S ribosomal RNA". It matches the Rfam family "Eukaryotic small subunit ribosomal RNA", at positions 592 to 976 of the family's 1831-position model. The record is from RNAcentral.